This 229-nucleotide ribosomal RNA is filed under the name uncultured bacterium. RNAcentral's name for it is "partial 16S ribosomal RNA". It matches the Rfam family "Bacterial small subunit ribosomal RNA", at positions 568 to 796 of the family's 1533-position model. The record is from RNAcentral.
UCCGUAGGUGGAUAAUUAAGUCAGAGGUGAAAUCCUGCAGCUCAACUGUAGAAUUGCCUUUGAUACUGGUUAUCUUGAGUCAUUAUGAAGUGGUUAGAAUGUGUAGUGUAGCGGUGGAAUGCAUAGAUAUUACACAGAAUACCGAUUGCGAAGGCAGAUCACUAAUAAUGUACUGACACUGAGGGACGAAAGCGUGGGGAGCGAACAGGAUUAGAUACCCUGGUAGUCC